Non-coding RNA from Caenorhabditis elegans, 21 nucleotides. Lineage: Eukaryota; Metazoa; Nematoda; Chromadorea; Rhabditida; Rhabditidae. The record is from Ensembl.
UUGCAGCCCAAAUCAUCACAC